GGGUCUUUAUGGCCCAACCUCCCACCCGUGACUAUUGUACCUUGUUGCUUCGGCGGGUCCCGCCAGCGUUGCUGGCCGCCGGGGGGCGACUCGCCCCCGGGCCCGUGCCCGCCGGAGACCCCAACAUGAACCCUGUUCUAAAAGCUUGCACUCUGAGUUGUGAUUCUUUGCAAUCAUUUAAAACUUUCAACAAUGGAUCUCUUGGUUCCGGCGUCUAUGAAGAACACAUCGAAAUGCUAUAACUAAUGUGAAUUGCAGAAUUCAUUGAAUCAUCGAGUCUUUGAACGCACAUUGCGCCCCCUGGUAUUCCGGGGGGCAUGCCUGUCCGAGCGUCAAUGAUGCCCUCAAGCCCGGCUUGUGUGUUGGGCCCUCGUCCCCCGGCUCCCGGGGGACGGGCCCGAAAGGCAGCGGCGGCACCGCGUCCGGUCCUCGAGCGUAUGGGGCUUCGUCUUCCGCUCCGUAGGCCCGGCCGGCGCCCGCCGACGCAUUUAUUUGCAACUUGUUUUUUUCCAGGUUGACCUCGGAUCAGGUAGGGAUACCCGCUGAACUUAAGCAUAUCAAUAAGGCGGAGGAA
This 574-nucleotide ribosomal RNA is filed under the name fungal sp. AM2013. RNAcentral's name for it is "eukaryotic LSU rRNA". The stretch from base 182 to 335 matches the Rfam family "5.8S ribosomal RNA". Lineage: Eukaryota; Fungi. The record is from RNAcentral.